RNAcentral lists this ribosomal RNA (16 nucleotides) under Heterorhabditis baujardi. Its description in RNAcentral is "partial 18S ribosomal RNA". Lineage: Eukaryota; Metazoa; Nematoda; Chromadorea; Rhabditida; Heterorhabditidae. The record is from RNAcentral.
UGCGGAUGGAUCAUCG